Molecule: non-coding RNA, 900 nt
Organism: Odocoileus virginianus texanus
Lineage: Eukaryota; Metazoa; Chordata; Mammalia; Artiodactyla; Cervidae
Source: RefSeq, a predicted model, not a curated record
ACGGACAGUUGCACAUCUGCCUCGAGACUGGGAGAGGGUACCGUUGUGGGGUGGGGGUUGCUUCUCCCGAAACCGUUUGUGACCUCGAAGAAGGCAGGCUCCCGGAUGGGUGUGAGCGUUGGACACCCUAAAAGCCACUGGAGAGUGAUGGCCGAGGGCCGGGACCAGCUUUCUCUCGGAGGUGCGCAGGCUCUCCUCAGAAGCCUUGGCCCGCGAGUCGGCGCGGCUCUGGUAGGAGUGGCACAGGUUCUGCAGCCCGACCUCAUACUGCCUGAAGUACUCUUUCUGUCGGAGGAGAAGCCAGCGCACUUCUGAACAAUCCACAUCCAAGUCACACCCAACAAGUAUGUAUCAAGCUCCUAUCGAUAGCAGAUACCCCAUGUUUGUGUAGUAUAUUUACACAGCAUAGAACUUUUUGCCAUCUUCUCCAAACACCUGAAACUUCCCAGUGGUGGGGACAGCUUCUCUAGACAUGAGGCUUUUCAAAGUAGUAGAACACUUGUUUUGAGUGAAAGUUACAUGGAAUCUCAAUAUGAAAAACAAUUUAGGUAUUAUCUCUUUAUGUUCAAGGUUAUUAUGAUUUACUCAUGAAUCACCAGUGAGAAUGAAAAGGCCAUUUUGAUGAACACAAGCCUAGAACCCACAGUCUGGCUGACCACCACAGUCUCACCAACUAUAGCAUUUGUUUACUUCUGUGAAGACUAUGAGCUACCUAGCACUGAAUAGUUCCUUUAAAACAUGUUAGAACUAUUUAAUUAUUUACAACCUAGAAUACUAUCCUAGUAAGUCAAGAUGGCAACAGAAACUUCAAGUUCUGCACAUAAAGAAAUUAUCACUUGAUGGCUCAAAAUAAAUGUUGAAGCAGAUGCCAAGCAUAUUAAAAUUUAACAUACAACGUCA